RNAcentral lists this ribosomal RNA (301 nucleotides) under uncultured bacterium. RNAcentral describes it as "partial 16S ribosomal RNA". It matches the Rfam family "Bacterial small subunit ribosomal RNA", at positions 509 to 807 of the family's 1533-position model. The record is from RNAcentral.
CAGCCGCCGCGGUAAUACAGAGGGUGCGAGCGUUAAUCGGAUUUAAUGGGCGUAAAGCGUGCGUAGGCGGCUUUUUAAGUCGGAUGUGAAAUCCCUGAGCUUAACUUAGGAAUUGCAUUCGAUACUGGGAAGCUAGAGUAUGGGAGAGGAUGGUAGAAUUCCAGGUGUAGCGGUGAAAUGCGUAGAGAUCUGGAGGAAUACCGAUGGCGAAGGCAGCCAUCUGGCCUAAUACUGACGCUGAGGUACGAAAGCAUGGGGAGCAAACAGGAUUAGAUACCCCAGUAGUCCCUGUCUCUUAUAC